AUUUAUAUAUUUUAAUUAAAAUUUAACUUUUUCAAAGUUAAAAUAGGGACCUACCCUUAUAAAUU
This 65-nucleotide transfer RNA is filed under the name Scolytinae sp. BMNH 1040146. RNAcentral describes it as "tRNA-Glu". The record is from RNAcentral. Lineage: Eukaryota; Metazoa; Arthropoda; Insecta; Coleoptera; Curculionidae.